Molecule: ribosomal RNA, 422 nt
Filed under: uncultured Providencia sp.
Lineage: Bacteria; Pseudomonadati; Pseudomonadota; Gammaproteobacteria; Enterobacterales; Morganellaceae
Description: bacterial SSU rRNA
Rfam family: Bacterial small subunit ribosomal RNA
Source: RNAcentral
UGGGGAAUAUUGCACAAUGGGCGCAAGCCUGAUGCAGCCAUGCCGCGUGUAUGAAGAAGGCCCUAGGGUUGUAAAGUACUUUCAGUCGGGAGGAAGGCGUUGAUGCUAAUAUCAUCAACGAUUGACGUUACCGACAGAAGAAGCACCGGCUAACUCCGUGCCAGCAGCCGCGGUAAUACGGAGGGUGCAAGCGUUAAUCGGAAUUACUGGGCGUAAAGCGCACGCAGGCGGUUGAUUAAGUUAGAUGUGAAAUCCCGGCUAGCCUGGAUGGCAUCUAAGACUGGUCAGCUAGAGUCUUGUAGAGGGGUGAGAAUUCCAUGUGUAGCGGUGAAAUUGCGUAGAGAUGUGGAGGAAUACCGGUGGCGAAGGCGGCCCCCUGCAGCAAAGACUGACGCUCAGGUGCGAAAGCGUGGGAGCAAACA